AAAAUUAUUAUUUGAAUGUAAAAAAAAUGAAAGUGUUUACGAAUUUGUAAUUAACAAUAACUUUUAUUUUUGUACAAAAACGCAUACAGAACAAUUUGACGAUAGUACUAUUGCUAGCGGUAAUAUAAAUAAUAAGGGAAAUAAUAACACGUCUAACUCUAACUCUAACUCUAACUCUAACUCUAACUCUAACUCUAACUCUAACUCUAACUCUAACCCUAGAUUAUUUGAAAAACGUGUAGUAUUUGUCCCUGUUGCAGCUUACAAAAAUAAAAACAUAAUAAAAUUCCAAAAGGGAAAUAUACAAUUGUUUAGUCGAAGUUAUUGUUUAUAUGAUGAAAUAAAAUUUAUGAACUUAAAAAAAGAUAUGUUUUUAUUCAAAAUGUGUAAAGAAAUGUUAUAUAAUAAAGCUAAUGCUUUAAGUUCUUAUUAUAAUUUUAUUCCCAACACCAAUAGUAGUGGCAGUAGUCAUAGUAAUAGUAAAAAUGACAAUGACAAUAUCAUGUUGUUCGCAAACAAUAUGUAUUAUAAUUCUUGUGUUGGUACUGCUACAAAAAUAUUAAAAUCACAUGAUAAUAUAUUUAUAGGUGUUGCUCAUGAUUUUACUGAAUCAAAUGAUAUGGUAAAAGCAAGUAUAAAAAUAUUAAACGGCACUUUAAUAAGUAAAAAUUAUUACACUGUAUUACCAAUUAAAGAAAAAAUUAUAAUAAAAAAAAUUGAAAAAGAUGCAUGUUUUUUUAAAUAUAUAAACAUAAACAAUUUAUGUGACUACUUAGUAAAUACAAAGGAUUUUAAUUUGAUUAAAAAACUUUUAUUAGAGCAACAAAAUAAUGCUUCUCUUAUUAUAAACAUCAAAAAUGAAAACAAAAAGAAUUUUAAUGUAAAAGAUAAUACGCCCAACCAUAAUCCUAUCACUGAUCCUACUAUUGCUGCUCCUCCUCCUACUACUACUCCUACUACUACUACUACUACUACUACUACUACUACUACUACUACUACUACCAUUGAAACUUUUGAACAUGUUAACAAUUCUACUACAAAUCAUGUUAAUAAUUCCUUUUCUGCUCUAUACGAAAUUUCCAAAUAUUGUGUUGCUAAUGAAGAUGUGAAUCUAAUAGCUAACGACAUAAUGGAAAAUGUUUACUUUAAAAUAACUGACAAUCAAUUAAAUGAUCAUUUUGUUUUAGUCAGUAGCAAUUAUAAUGUAAUAGAGAAGAAAGAAGAAAUUCAAAAAGGCUCUUUAUAUAAUAAUAAUAAUAAUAGUAAUAAUAAUAAUAAUAAUAAUAAUAAUAUAUAUAAUGAUAAUACUGUUAUUACAUGUAAUAAAAUGAAAGUAUUAAUAAAAAUGAACGAAAUAAAAAUUCCACUAAUCAUAGGUAGACAAUAUCUUUUUUACUCAUUAAAUUCUUCACAUAGUAUAACUAUUAAAAACAUUCAUUAUGUUUAUGAAAGCGAAUGUAAAAAUAAAAAUUAUUCUUUCAAUUCGGAUUGUAUUGCAAACAUAAAAAAACUAAAUGCUGACACUAACGAACAAAUGUUAAAAUAUAUUGGUAACUUAAAAAAUUAUAAAAAAAAUAAUGUAUUUUAUCAAAAAGUAGAAAAUAAAAAAUGCUUACGUAGCUAUGAUAUUGGAAUCAUAGAAAUAGAAGUUAAUAAUAACUUAAUAUGUACACAGUAUUUCGAUAAUGAUAUAAAUUAUUUUAUUACAUUAGAUAAUCCUUUUUUUAAUAUUUAUGAUUUUCUACCUUUGGCAAUUUCUCCCUUAUCUCGUUUUAUUUUGUCUGAAGAAAAUAAAAUUGUUGCUAGUGGUUUAGUUAUUAAAUAAAAAAAAAAGCUCUUUUUUUUUUUUUUUUUUUUUUUUUUUUUAAUAUGAUGCUUACAUAUGUACAUAUGUAU
RNAcentral lists this long non-coding RNA (1896 nucleotides) under Piliocolobus tephrosceles (Ugandan red Colobus). RNAcentral describes it as "lncRNA (ENSPTEG00000008137.1)". The record is from RNAcentral. Lineage: Eukaryota; Metazoa; Chordata; Mammalia; Primates; Cercopithecidae.